AUUGAACGCUGGCGGCAGGCCUAACACAUGCAAGUCGAGCGGAUGAAGGGAGCUUGCUCCUGGAUUCAGCGGCGGACGGGUGAGUAAUGCCUAGGAAUCUGCCUGGUAGUGGGGGAUAACGUCCGGAAACGGGCGCUAAUACCGCAUACGUCCUGAGGGAGAAAGUGGGGGAUCUUCGGACCUCACGCUAUCAGAUGAGCCUAGGUCGGAUUAGCUAGUUGGUGGGGUAAAGGCCUACCAAGGCGACGAUCCGUAACUGGUCUGAGAGGAUGAUCAGUCACACUGGAACUGAGACACGGUCCAGACUCCUAUGGGAGGCAGCAGUGGGGAAUAUUGGACAAUGGGCGAAAGCCUGAUCCAGCCAUGCCGCGUGUGUGAAGAAGGUCUUCGGAUUGUAAAGCACUUUAAGUUGGGAGGAAGGGCAGUAAGUUAAUACCUUGCUGGUUUGACGUUACCAACAGAAUAAGCACCGGCUAACUUCGUG
This 484-nucleotide ribosomal RNA is filed under the name uncultured bacterium. Its description in RNAcentral is "partial 16S ribosomal RNA". It matches the Rfam family "Bacterial small subunit ribosomal RNA", at positions 30 to 507 of the family's 1533-position model. The record is from RNAcentral.